UACGAAGGGGGCUAGCGUUGCUCGGAAUCACUGGGCGUAAAGCGCACGUAGGCGGAUUCCUAAGUCGGUGGUGAAAUCCUGGAGCUCAACUCCAGAACUGCCUUUGAUACUGGCGAUCUUGAGUCCGGGAGAGGUGAGUGGAACUGCGAGUGUAGAGGUGAAAUUCGUAGAUAUUCGCAAGAACACCAGUGGCGAAGGCGGCUCACUGGCCCGGUACUGACGCCGAGGUGCGAAAGCGUGGGGAGCAAACAGG
This 253-nucleotide ribosomal RNA is filed under the name uncultured bacterium. RNAcentral describes it as "partial 16S ribosomal RNA". It matches the Rfam family "Bacterial small subunit ribosomal RNA", at positions 524 to 776 of the family's 1533-position model. The record is from RNAcentral.